This 420-nucleotide long non-coding RNA is filed under the name Pan troglodytes (chimpanzee). RNAcentral's name for it is "lincRNA". The record is from RNAcentral. Lineage: Eukaryota; Metazoa; Chordata; Mammalia; Primates; Hominidae.
UCAAUAAGACAAGUCUUCUAUUGAGCAUGCUUGGGCAAGUACAGCUGGAAUAGAAAAGAUAGACAGUGGAUUCUUUGGCUUCAUCCAAGUGGGCUGAGGAUUGAAGUAUUUUUCCAGUCAUGUUCUUGAACACCUACUUUCAUGGCAUGCUGACAUUUCCAGACUACUGAAGAUGUGAUGAUUAACUGAUCCUGCAUUUGAUGAAAAAAAAGUUUGCACAUUCCAAAGGAGAUAGGUUUCAAAUGACUAUAUAGGGUACAAUUUCCACUGAAGUGAUUUCUCUUAAUCUUAAUCCUUAACCACUCUCAUUGCUACAGUACCUUCCAAAAGUAAGCAUAGUUCAUAAAGUCUUCAGACUGCCUUUUAGCACAUUAACAUACUCUUCACAAUCCCACAAUAAAAGCACCUUAAGUGCAGGGA